UCAGGAUGAACGCUAGCUACAGGCUUAACACAUGCAAGUCGUGGGGCAUCAGGAAGAAAGCUUGCUUUCUUUGCUGGCGACCGGCGCACGGGUGAGUAACACGUAUCCAACCUGCCCUUUACUCGGGGAUAGCCUUUCGAAAGAAAGAUUAAUACCCGAUAGCAUAAUGAUUCCGCAUGGUUUCAUUAUUAAAGGAUUCCGGUAAAGGAUGGGGAUGCGUUCCAUUAGGUUGUUGGUGAGGUAACGGCCCACCAAGCCUUCGAUGGAUAGGGGUUCUGAGAGGAAGGUCCCCCACAUUGGAACUGAGACACGGUCCAAACUCCUACGGGAGGCAGCAGUGAGGAAUAUUGGUCAAUGGGCGCUAGCCUGAACCAGCCAAGUAGCGUGAAGGAUGAAGGCUCUAUGGGUCGUAAACUUCUUUUAUAUAAGAAUAAAGUGCAGUAUGUAUACUGUUUUGUAUGUAUUAUAUGAAUAAGGAUCGGCUAACUCCGUGCCAGCAGCCGCGGUAAUACGGAGGAUCCGAGCGUUAUCCGGAUUUAUUGGGUUUAAAGGGAGCGUAGGUGGACUGGUAAGUCAGUUGUGAAAGUUUGCGGCUCAACCGUAAAAUUGCAGUUGAUACUGUCAGUCUUGAGUACAGUAGAGGUGGGCGGAAUUCGUGGUGUAGCGGUGAAAUGCUUACAUAUCACGAAGAACUCCGAUUGCGAAGGCAGCUCACUGGACUGCAACUGACACUGAUGCUCGAAAGUGUGGGUAUCAAACAGGAUUAGAUACCCUGGUAGUCCACACAGUAAACGAUGAAUACUCGCUGUUUGCGAUAUACAGUAAGCGGCCAAGCGAAAGCAUUAAGUAUUCCACCUGGGGAGUACGCCGGCAACGGUGAAACUCAAAGGAAUUGACGGGGGCCCGCACAAGCGGAGGAACAUGUGGUUUAAUUCGAUGAUACGCGAGGAACCUUACCCGGGCUUAAAUUGCAGUGGAAUGAUGUGGAAACAUGUCAGUGAGCAAUCACCGCUGUGAAGGUGCUGCAUGGUUGUCGUCAGCUCGUGCCGUGAGGUGUCGGCUUAAGUGCCAUAACGAGCGCAACCCUUAUCUUUAGUUACUAACAGGUUAUGCUGAGGACUCUAGAGAGACUGCCGUCGUAAGAUGUGAGGAAGGUGGGGAUGACGUCAAAUCAGCACGGCCCUUACGUCCGGGGCUACACACGUGUUACAAUGGGGGGUACAGAAGGCAGCUAGCGGGUGACCGUAUGCUAAUCCCAAAAUCCUCUCUCAGUUCGGAUGGAAGUCUGCAACCCGACUUCGUGAAGCUGGAUUCGCUAGUAAUCGCGCAUCAGCCACGGCGCGGUGAAUACGUUCCCGGGCCUUGUACACACCGCCCGUCAAGCCAUGGGAGCCGGGGGUACCUGAAAUACGUAACCGCAAGGAUCGUCCUAGGGUA
RNAcentral lists this ribosomal RNA (1437 nucleotides) under uncultured organism. RNAcentral's name for it is "16S ribosomal RNA". It matches the Rfam family "Bacterial small subunit ribosomal RNA". The record is from RNAcentral.